RNAcentral lists this long non-coding RNA (239 nucleotides) under Gossypium raimondii (Peruvian cotton). Its description in RNAcentral is "long non-coding RNA (GRAI_LNC000298)". Lineage: Eukaryota; Viridiplantae; Streptophyta; Magnoliopsida; Malvales; Malvaceae. The record is from RNAcentral.
UCUUGGAAUCAUUUAGUAUUCUAAAAUACUCUCUAAAUAAAAAUAAUUUUAGAAGUCGACGAAGAGCCACCUACUUUCCAAGAGAAACUGUUGGUGACCGUUGGAGUUUCAACGACGAAAGAAACCAUCAUCUGUUCAUCACAACUUGUGAAGACAAUAAAGAUACACAUAAAAUAGAUAUACAAACUGAAGAGAGAAAACACAUGGAGUGAAUAAGGAGAAAAAAAAAAAGAGAAUUG